AUUGAACGCUGGCGGCAUGCUUUACACAUGCAAGUCGAACGGCAGCGCGGGCUUCGGCCUGGCGGCGAGUGGCGAACGGGUGAGUAAUACAUCGGAACGUGCCCAGUAGUGGGGGAUAGCUCGGCGAAAGCCGGAUUAAUACCGCAUACGACCUGAGGGUGAAAGCGGGGGAUCUUCGGACCUCGCGCUAUUGGAGCGGCCGACGGCAGAUUAGCUAGUUGGUGGGGUAAAGGCCUACCAAGGCGACGAUCUGUAGCUGGUCUGAGAGGACGACCAGCCACACUGGGACUGAGACACGGCCCAGACUCCUACGGGAGGCAGCAGUGGGGAAUUUUGGACAAAGGGCGAAAGCCUGAUCCAGCAAUGCCGCGUGUGUGAUGAAGGCCUUCGGGUUGUAAAGCACUUUUGGCGGGAACGAAAAGGACUGUGCCAAUACCACGGUUCGAUGACGGUACCCGCAGAAUAAGCACCGGCUAACUACGUG
Molecule: ribosomal RNA, 484 nt
Filed under: uncultured bacterium
Lineage: Bacteria
Description: partial 16S ribosomal RNA
Rfam family: Bacterial small subunit ribosomal RNA
Source: RNAcentral